GGGCGUGUAGCUCAACUGGUUAGAGCGCAAGACCGAUAAUCUUGAGGUCGUAGGUUCGAGUCCUACCAGGCCC
RNAcentral lists this transfer RNA (73 nucleotides) under Bracteacoccus minor. RNAcentral describes it as "tRNA-Ile". It matches the Rfam family "tRNA". Rfam says of the family: Transfer RNA (tRNA) molecules are approximately 80 nucleotides in length. Their secondary structure includes four short double-helical elements and three loops (D, anti-codon, and T loops). The record is from RNAcentral. Lineage: Eukaryota; Viridiplantae; Chlorophyta; Chlorophyceae; Sphaeropleales; Bracteacoccaceae.